GACGAACGCUGGCGGCGUGGAUUAGGCAUGCAAGUCGAACGGUAUCAUCCUUUCGGGGGUGAGAGAGUGGCGAACUGGUGAGUAACACGUAGGUUAUCUACCCUCAAGACGGGGACAACCCAGGGAAACUUGGGCUAAUACCGGAUGUGAGCAACUUUUAGUUGUUUGAAAGGUGGCGUAAGCUGUCGCUUGGGGAUGAGCCUGCGUCCUAUUAGUUAGUUGGUGAGGUAACGGCUCACCUAGGCAAUGAUAGGUAGGCGGCCUUAACGGGUGGUCGCCCACACUGGGAUUGAGAUACGGCCCAGACUCCUACGGGAGGCAGCAGUCGAGAAUAGUCUACAAUGGCCGGAAGGCUGAUAGUGCGACGCCGCGUGAACGAGGGAGCCCUUCGGGGUGUAAAGUUCUUUUCUAUACGAGCAGUGCUAUAUAUAUGGAUAGUAUAUAUAGAGGGAUAGUAGUAUAGGGAAUAAGACAACGGCUAACUCCGUGCCAGCAGCCGACGGUAAACAUACUCGUAC
This 518-nucleotide ribosomal RNA is filed under the name uncultured bacterium. Its description in RNAcentral is "bacterial SSU rRNA". It matches the Rfam family "Bacterial small subunit ribosomal RNA", at positions 28 to 536 of the family's 1533-position model. The record is from RNAcentral.